GACGAACGCUGGCGGCGUGCUUAACACAUGCAAGUCGAACGGCAAGGCCCUGCUUUUGUGGGGUGCUCGAGUGGCUAACGGGUGAGUAACACGUGAGUAACCUGCCCUUGACUUUGGGAUAACUUCAGGAAACUGGGGCUAAUACCGGAUAGGAGCUCCUGCUGCAUGGUGGGGGUUGGAAAGUUUCGGCGGGUGGGGUUGGACUCGCGGCUUAUCAGCUUGUUGGUUGGGUAGUGGCUUACCAAGGCUUUGACGGGUAGCCGGCCUGAGAGGGUGACCGGCCACAUUGGGACUGCGAUACGGCCCAGACUCCUACGGGAGGCAGCAGUGGGGAAUAUUGCACAAUGGGCGGAAGCCUGAUGCAGCAACGCCGCGUGCGGGAUGACGGCCUUCGGGUUGUAAACCGCUUUCGCCUGUGACGAAGCGUGAGUGACGGUAAUGGGUAAAGAAGCACCGGCUAACUACGUG
RNAcentral lists this ribosomal RNA (468 nucleotides) under uncultured bacterium. RNAcentral describes it as "partial 16S ribosomal RNA". It matches the Rfam family "Bacterial small subunit ribosomal RNA", at positions 28 to 507 of the family's 1533-position model. The record is from RNAcentral.